UGGGGAAUUUUGGACAAUGGGCGCAAGCCUGAUCCAGCCAUGCCGCGUGAGUGAAGAAGGCCUUCGGGUUGUAAAGCUCUUUCGGCGGGGACGAAACGGUUCGUGACAACACCACGGACUAAUGACGGUACCCGCAUAAGAAGCACCGGCUAACUACGUGCCAGCAGCCGCGGUAAUACGUAGGGUGCAGGCGUUAAUCGGAAUUACUGGGCGUAAAGGGUGCGCAGGCGGUUUGUUAAGACAGGUGUGAAAUCCCCGGGCUUAACCUGGGAAUUGCGCUUGUAACUGGCAGGCUAGAGUGUGGCAGAGGGGGGUGGAAUUCCACGUGUAGCAGUGAAAUGCGUAGAUAUGUGGAGGAACACCGAUGGCGAAGGCAGCCCCCUGGGUUAACACUGACGCUCAUGCACGAAAGCGUGGGGAGCAAACAGGAUUAGAUACCCACGUAGUCCCUGAGCGGGCUGGCAAGGCGCAU
Molecule: ribosomal RNA, 472 nt
Filed under: uncultured bacterium
Lineage: Bacteria
Description: bacterial SSU rRNA
Rfam family: Bacterial small subunit ribosomal RNA
Source: RNAcentral